UCCUUCUUCUUUUCCUUCCUCUUCUAAUUAUUUUCGUCUUUUCCUUUCUUCUUUUUCAUUUUUUCCUUCUUCUUUUCCUCAUUUUUUCUUCUAACCUAACUAAUUAGCCUAAUAAUCUAACCUAAUAAACUAACUAAAUUAACCUAAAAUAAAAAACUAACCUAAUAAACUAACUAAACUAAUUAAAUUAAUAAAAAGAAAAC
Molecule: long non-coding RNA, 203 nt
Filed under: Hordeum vulgare
Lineage: Eukaryota; Viridiplantae; Streptophyta; Magnoliopsida; Poales; Poaceae
Description: long non-coding RNA (HVUL_LNC021302)
Source: RNAcentral